AACGCACAUUGCGCCCGCCAGCACUCUGGCGGGCACGCCCGUCCGAGCGUCGUUUCGCCGCCCGGGCCCCCGCCGCCCGGCGUUGGGGCGCUGCGGCGCAUGCCCGCAGGCCCCCAAACGCAGCGGCGGGCCCGCCGGCGGCCCUGGGCGCAGUAACGCACUGGAGACCGCCCCGGAGGCCGCGGCGCGGCCCCGCCACGCAGGCGCGAGAGCGCGCAACAACAAGGUCGACCUCGGAUCGGGCGGGACCACCCGCUGAACUUAA
This 265-nucleotide unclassified non-coding RNA is filed under the name uncultured fungus. Its description in RNAcentral is "partial contains 5.8S ribosomal RNA, internal transcribed spacer 2, and large subunit ribosomal RNA". Lineage: Eukaryota; Fungi. The record is from RNAcentral.